Molecule: ribosomal RNA, 479 nt
Filed under: uncultured anaerobic ammonium-oxidizing bacterium
Lineage: Bacteria
Description: bacterial SSU rRNA
Rfam family: Bacterial small subunit ribosomal RNA
Source: RNAcentral
UUUCGCAAUGCCCGAAAGGGUGACGAAGCGACGCCGCGUGGGUGAGGAAGGCCUUCGGGUUGUAAAGCCCUGUCAGGAGUUAAGAAAUGUAAGUGCGCUAAUACCGCAUUUAUUUGACGAAGGCUCCAAAGGAAGUCACGGCUAACUCUGUGCCAGCAGCCGCGGUAAUACAGAGGUGGCAAGCGUUGUUCGGAAUUAUUGGGCGUAAAGAGCACGUAGGUGGGUUUGUAAGUCAGAUGUGAAAGCCUCCUGUUCAACGGGAGAAUUGCAUCUGAAACUACAGAUCUUGAGUGUAGGAGGGGAGAAUGGAACUUCUGGUGGAGCGGUGAAAUGCGUAGAUAUCAGAAGGAACGCCGGCGGCGAAAGCGAUUCUCUGGCCUAUUACUGACACUCAAUGUGCGAAAGCUAGGGUAGCAAACGGGAUUAGAUACCCCGGUAGUCCUAGCCGUAAACGAUGGGCACUAAGUAGAGGGGUUUUA